This 247-nucleotide long non-coding RNA is filed under the name Elaeis guineensis (African oil palm). RNAcentral's name for it is "long non-coding RNA (EGUI_LNC073046)". Lineage: Eukaryota; Viridiplantae; Streptophyta; Magnoliopsida; Arecales; Arecaceae. The record is from RNAcentral.
AAAGAAUCCCAGAGCCCGGCCUCCUCUCUUCUUCCUCCCUCUUUCUUUCUCAUUUUACCGAUUUUCUUAGACCCGUGCUCACCGAAAAUUUGAAACGGAGACACUGCCGGAGCUCGAGGUAAGCCCCUCCCCUUCUUUCUCUCCCUCUUCCCUUUCUCCCCUGGCCCAAGGCCUCACCGCCGGCCACCGACUUUGCCGAAAAUCAGUCGCAAAAGAAAUCCCCUAUUUUCUGAAUUUUUCUUUGAUU